GUCUUUCGGUUCCUGGGGUAGUAUGGUUGCAAAGCUGAAACUUAAAGAAAUUGACGGAAUGGCACCACCAGGAGUGGAGCCUGCGGCUUAAUUUGACUCAACACGGGAAAACUCACCCGGCCCGGACACCGCAAGGAUUGACAGAUUGAAAGCUCUUUCUCGAUUUGGUGGUUGGUGGUGCAUGGCCGUUCUUAGUUGGUGGAGCGAUUUGUCUGGUUUAUUCCGAUAACGAGCGAGACUCUAGCCUGCUAAAUAGUGGCUGGAUUUUUAAGUCCAGUCUACUUCUUAGAGGGAUAAGCGGUGUUUAGCCGCACGAGAUUGAGCGAUAACAGGUCUGUGAUGCCCUUAGAUGUCCGGGGCUGCACGCGCGCUACAAUGGAAGAAUCAGCUGGCCUAUCCAUUGCCGAAAGGCAUUGGUAAACCGUUGAAACUCUUCCCGUGACCGGGAUAGGGAAUUGUAAUUAUUUCCCUUGAACGAGGAAUUCCUUAGUAAGUGGGAGUCAUCAGCUCACGCUG
Molecule: ribosomal RNA, 516 nt
Filed under: Molineus patens
Lineage: Eukaryota; Metazoa; Nematoda; Chromadorea; Rhabditida; Molineidae
Description: SSU rRNA
Rfam family: Eukaryotic small subunit ribosomal RNA
Source: RNAcentral